This 1094-nucleotide ribosomal RNA is filed under the name Triplophysa robusta. RNAcentral's name for it is "partial large subunit ribosomal RNA". It matches the Rfam family "Bacterial large subunit ribosomal RNA", at positions 144 to 2058 of the family's 2925-position model. Lineage: Eukaryota; Metazoa; Chordata; Actinopteri; Cypriniformes; Nemacheilidae. The record is from RNAcentral.
ACCACCAAGAUUAACUCAAAAGUAUAGAUAAUUUAGCAUUAAAUGAAUAACAAAACUAAAUCAUUUUUCCACCUUAGUACGGGAGACGGAAAAGGUAAUUUAAGCAAUAGAGAAAGUACCGCAAGGGAAAGCUGAAAGAGUAAUGAAAUAAUUCAUUUAAGCACAAAAAAGCAGAGCUUAACCCUUGUACCUUUUGCAUCAUGAUUUAGCCAGCACUACUCAAGCAAAGUGACCUUUAGUUUGAAACCCCGAAACCAAGUGAGCUACCCCGGGACAGCCUUAAAGGGCGAACCCGUCUCUGUGGCAAAAGAGUGGGAAGAGCCCCGGGUAGAGGUGAUAAACCUACCGAACUUGGUGAUAGCUGGUUGCCUGAGAAAUGAAUAGAAGUUCAGCCUCGUAUCCCUUUAGCCAACCAAGAAAUAUCUGAAUAAGCACAAAAGAGAAAUACGAGAGUUAGUUGAAGGGGGUACAGCCCCUUUAAUAAAGGACACAACCUUAAAUAGGUGAAUAAGAGUCACACUUUAUAAAACUAGUUGUUCCAGUGGGCCUAAAAGCAGCCAUCUGAGUAGAAAGCGUUAAAGCUCAAACAACAUGCAGUUUAUUAUACUGAUAAAUAACCCAACUCCCCUAAAAAUAUCAGGCCAUUCCAUGCCACCAUGGAAGAGACCAUGCUAAAAUGAGUAAUAGGAGGAUAUGAUCCUCUCCUAGCACAAGUGUAAGCCAGAUCGGACAAACCACUGGAAAUUAACGAGCCCAGAAAAAGAGGGUAAUGUGGCCAACAAAAAAAUCAGGAAAAUACCACAGCAUUUAUAUCGUUAAACCCACACUGGAGUGCCUCCAAGGAAAGACUAAAAGAAGGGGAAGGAACUCGGCAAACACAAGCCUCGCCUGUUUACCAAAAACAUCGCCUCCUGCAAAUCCCUACGUAUAGGAGGUCCAGCCUGCCCGGUGACUACAAGUUUAACGGCCGCGGUAUUUUGACCGUGCAAAGGUAGCGCAAUCACUUGUCUUUUAAAUGAAGACCUGUAUGAAUGGCUAAACGAGGGCUUAGCUGUCUCCCUUUUCAAGUCAGUGAAAUUGAUCUACCCGUGCAG